RNAcentral lists this transfer RNA (60 nucleotides) under Gammarus duebeni. RNAcentral's name for it is "tRNA-Arg". Lineage: Eukaryota; Metazoa; Arthropoda; Malacostraca; Amphipoda; Gammaridae. The record is from RNAcentral.
AAAACAAAAGUAAACUUUACAUGUGGCUUCGACCCAUAGUGUGGCCUAAGCCUUGUUUUA